AGUAUAGGAACUUGCCUAGUAGUGGGGGACAACGUGUGGAAACGCACGCUAAUACCGCAUAAUCUCUACGGAGGAAAGUGGGGGACCUUUCGGGGCCUCAUGCUAUUAGAUAGGCCUAUAUAGGAUUAGCUAGUUGGUAAGGUAAUGGCUUACCAAGGCGACGAUCCUUAGCUGGUUUGAGAGAAUGAUCAGCCACACUGGGACUGAGACACGGCCCAGACUCCUACGGGAGGCAGCAGUGGGGAAUAUUGCACAAUGGAGGAAACUCUGAUGCAGCAAUGCCGCGUGUGUGAAGAAGGC
This 300-nucleotide ribosomal RNA is filed under the name uncultured Piscirickettsiaceae bacterium. RNAcentral's name for it is "bacterial SSU rRNA". It matches the Rfam family "Bacterial small subunit ribosomal RNA", at positions 114 to 415 of the family's 1533-position model. The record is from RNAcentral. Lineage: Bacteria; Pseudomonadati; Pseudomonadota; Gammaproteobacteria; Thiotrichales; Piscirickettsiaceae.